CCCUCGGUAGCUCAGUUGGAAGAGCGUGGGACUGUAAUGGUUACAUGUCAUCCCGAGGCCACUGGUUCGAUCCCGGUCUGAGGGA
Molecule: transfer RNA, 85 nt
Organism: Sistotremastrum suecicum HHB10207 ss-3
Lineage: Eukaryota; Fungi; Basidiomycota; Agaricomycetes; Sistotremastrales; Sistotremastraceae
Rfam family: tRNA
About the family: Transfer RNA (tRNA) molecules are approximately 80 nucleotides in length. Their secondary structure includes four short double-helical elements and three loops (D, anti-codon, and T loops).
Source: Rfam